GACGAAGGUGGCGAGCGUUGUUCGGAAUCACUGGGCAUAAAGCGCACGUAGGCGGCGACGUAAGUUGGGUGUGAAAUCCCUCGGCCCAACCGAGGAACUGCGCCCAGUACUGCGUUGCUUGAGGAUCGAAGGGGUGCAUGGAAUUCCCGGUGGAGCGGUGAAAUGCGUUGAUAUCGGGAGGAACUCCGGCGGCGAAGGCGGCCUUCUGGACCGAGCACUGACACUCAAGCACGAAAGCGUGGGGAGCAAACAGG
RNAcentral lists this ribosomal RNA (254 nucleotides) under uncultured bacterium. RNAcentral's name for it is "partial 16S ribosomal RNA". It matches the Rfam family "Bacterial small subunit ribosomal RNA", at positions 524 to 776 of the family's 1533-position model. The record is from RNAcentral.